GAUGAACGCUGGCGGCGUGCCUAACACAUGCAAGUCGAACGGAGUCCAGCCUUUAAGACCUUCGGGUCAAAGAGGGGAAGACUGAGUGGCGGACGGGUGAGUAACACGUGGGCAACCUGGCUCAUAGAGGGGGAUAACAGAGAGAAAUUUCUGCUAAUACCGCAUAAGCACACACUGCCGCAUGGCAGAGGGUGAAAAGGGAAUCGCUAUGAGAUGGACCCGCGUCUGAUUAGCCAGUUGGCAGGGUAAGAGCCUACCAAAGCGACGAUCAGUAGCCGAUCUGAGAGGAUGAACGGCCACAUUGGGACUGAGACACGGCCCAAACUCCUACGGGAGGCAGCAGUGGGGGAUAUUGCACAACGGGGGGAACCCUGAUGCAGCGACGCCGCGUGAGUGAAGAAGUAUUUCGGUAUGUAAAGCUCUAUCAGCAGGGAAGAUAAUGACAGUACCUGAAUAAGAAGCCCCGGCUAACUACGUG
This 478-nucleotide ribosomal RNA is filed under the name uncultured bacterium. RNAcentral's name for it is "partial 16S ribosomal RNA". It matches the Rfam family "Bacterial small subunit ribosomal RNA", at positions 28 to 507 of the family's 1533-position model. The record is from RNAcentral.